UGCUGACGCAGCCUGAUCAGCCAUGCCGCGUGUGUGAAGAAGGCCUUUGGGUUGUAAAGCACUUUUGUCCGGGAGGAAGUCACUUUUAUUAAUACUCUGUGUGGAUGACGGUACCGCAAAAAUAAGGACCGGCUAACUUCUUGCCCACAGCCCCGGUAAUACCUAAGGUCCAAGCGUUAAUCCGAAUUACUGGGCGUAAAGCGUGCGCAGGCGGUUGUGCAAAACCGAUGUGAAAUCCCCGGGCUUAACCUGGGAAUUGCAUUGCUGACUGGGCGGCUAGAGUGUGGCAGAGGGGGGUAAAAUUCCCAGUGUAACCGUGAAAUGCGCUAAAGAUGUGAAGGAAUACCGAUGUGGAAGGCGCCCCCCUGUGAUAACACUGACACUCAUACGCAAAAACGUGUGGAGAAAACACGAUAAUAUACCCCGUGAUACCCCGCCCCAAACAAUAUCUCCUAUUUGUUGGGGAUUCUUUUCCUUUUUAACGUAGCUAACGCCUGAAUUUGACCACCUGGGGAGUACGGCCGCCACAUUAAAACUCCUCGAAUUUUUUUCGGGGGG
This 558-nucleotide ribosomal RNA is filed under the name uncultured bacterium. Its description in RNAcentral is "partial 16S ribosomal RNA". It matches the Rfam family "Bacterial small subunit ribosomal RNA", at positions 370 to 920 of the family's 1533-position model. The record is from RNAcentral.